This is a long non-coding RNA of Polypterus senegalus (gray bichir), 372 nucleotides long. RefSeq lists it as uncharacterized. The transcript has 3 exons. Lineage: Eukaryota; Metazoa; Chordata; Cladistia; Polypteriformes; Polypteridae. The record is from RefSeq and is a predicted model, not a curated record.
GAUUAACCUGGGAGAAGAUCAUGAAAGCAUCUCCAAGAAGUUAAUACUGAGACUUUAAAUAUCAGAGCCUCAGAACAUUCAUGCCUGGCUGCCUUCUCAUCCCCUUACCUUCAAUCAAGUUUAUGAACAUAUGCAAUCCGAGCCUCCUUUCUGGCACUCUUUCCCUUCAAGAAAGGAGAUAAAGCUAGUAGGCUUAAUUACAUCAGAUUAGGUUGCUGGCAGAGGAUAGAGGAGAUAUCUGUGCUACAUAUCUUAACAUAAGCUGGCAUGAGUUCAGCCAUUUCCCACUUGGAAUUAAUCUGAUAUAUGCAAGCUGAUCUGGACUCUCUUGAACCAUUCUAAAUGGACUCCCAGGUAUCCAGUGAUCAGUUC